This 108-nucleotide small nuclear RNA is filed under the name Dasypus novemcinctus (nine-banded armadillo). The record is from RNAcentral. Lineage: Eukaryota; Metazoa; Chordata; Mammalia; Cingulata; Dasypodidae.
GUGCUUGCUCUGGCAGUACAUAAAACGAAAAUUGGAAGAAUACAGAGAAUAUUAGCAUGACCUCUGCACAAGAGCGACACACAAAUUUGUGAAGAAUUCCAUAUUUUU